Molecule: ribosomal RNA, 513 nt
Filed under: uncultured bacterium
Lineage: Bacteria
Description: partial 16S ribosomal RNA
Rfam family: Bacterial small subunit ribosomal RNA
Source: RNAcentral
GAUGAACGCUGGCGGCGUGCCUAAUACAUGCAAGUCGAGCGAACAGACGAGGAGCUUGCUCCUCUGACGUUAGCGGUUGACGGGUGAGUAACACGUGGAUAACCUACCUAUAAGACUGGGAUAACUUCGGGAAACCGGAGCUAAUACCGGAUAACAUGUUGAACCGCAUGGUUCAACAGUGAAAGACGGUCUUGCUGUCUCUUAUAGAUGGAUCCGCGCCGCAUUAGCUAGUUGGUAAGGUAACGGCUUACAAAGUCAACGAUGCGUACACGACCUGAGAGGGUGAUCGGCCACAGUGGAACUGAGACACGGUCCAGACUCCUACGGGAGGCAGCAGUAGGGAAUCUUACGCAAUGGGCGAAAGCCUGACGGAGCAACGCCGCGUGGGUGAAGAAGGUCUUCGGAUCGUAAAACUCUGUUAUUAGGGAAGAACAAAUGUGUAAGUAACUAUGCACGUCUUGACGGUACCUAAUCAGAAAGCCACGGCUAACUACGUGCCAGCCGCCGCCGUAA